UACGGAGGGGGCUAGCGUUGUUCGGAUUUACUGGGCGUAAAGGGCGCGUAGGCGGCCACCGCAAGUCGACUGUGAAAUCUCCGGGCUUAACCCGGAAAGGUCAGCCGAUACUGCGGGGCUAGAGUGCAGAAGGGGCAACUGGAAUUCUCGGUGUAGCGGUGAAAUGCGUAGAUAUCGAGAGGAACACCUGCGGCGAAGGCGGGUUGCUGGGCUGACACUGACGCUGAUGCGCGAAAGCUAGGGGAGCGAACGGG
RNAcentral lists this ribosomal RNA (254 nucleotides) under uncultured bacterium. RNAcentral's name for it is "partial 16S ribosomal RNA". It matches the Rfam family "Bacterial small subunit ribosomal RNA", at positions 524 to 776 of the family's 1533-position model. The record is from RNAcentral.